GACGAACGCUGGCGGCGUGCCUAAUACAUGCAAGUUGAGCGCACAGGGUAGGUACUUGUUCCAACGGGGUGAGCAGCGAACGGGUGAGUAACGCGUGGGGAAUCUGCCUUUGAGCGGGGGACAACAUUUGGAAACGAAUGCUAAUACCGCAUAAAAACUUUAAACACAAGUUUUAAGUUUGAAAGAUGCAAUUGCAUCACUCAAAGAUGAUCUCGCGUUGUAUUAGCUAGUUGGUGAGGUAAAGGCUCAACAAGGCGAAGAUACAUAACCGACCUGAGAGGGGGGAUGGGCCACAUUGGAAUGGGACACGGCCCCAGACUCCUACGGGAGGCAGAGGAGGGGAUUCUUCGGAAAUGGGCGAAGGCUUGACGGAGAAAGGCGGGGUGGGGGAUGAAGGUCUCGGAUCGGUAAAACUCGUUUGUAAGGAAGAAAGUAGUGGGGAGUGAAAAACUCACGACGUGACGGUAACUACUCAGAAAGCCACGGCUAACUACGUG
Molecule: ribosomal RNA, 497 nt
Filed under: uncultured bacterium
Lineage: Bacteria
Description: partial 16S ribosomal RNA
Rfam family: Bacterial small subunit ribosomal RNA
Source: RNAcentral